UUAUGAUUUUGUGAAAAUAUUAAAUUCACUGUGUUUAAAUUAAUUGCCCUAGUUUUUAUUAAUAAUUAAAAGCCAUUAAGAAGCAGUCAUAUAAAGAAUGUCACAGGGUUAUUUUAAAAACUAAAAACUUCCUCAAAUGAGAGAGAAGACAGAAUUUCAUGAAUAUAAUCCUUUUGUGAGUGGCCCAUACUUCUCUACAUGCAUGCUUUGAUGACCUGACCUCUAGUGUGACUGAAACUUUUGUGUUUCUGUGUAAAAAUUAAUAAAUGUUCAUUUUGUGUAUAACACAUUAUAAUGAGUAUUAACAUUAUUAUUAUAUUAGACUACUACAGUACACAACAUGAUAUGACACUUGACUGUGUAGUGUUAGUGUCUUUAUUAUCCUGUCUUCUUUUUAUAGGAUAGAUGGACUCCUCUCAUAAUAGCAGCUAAAUAUGGUUACACACAGGUAGUGACAAUGCUCCUUGAAAAAGGAGCAGAUGUCACUGCCUCUGAUAAUAAUGGUAGGACUGCUCUUGAUUGUGCUGAAGAACACCGUCAUUCUGAUACUGCUACCCUACUGAGAGUACACUCAGGUAAUGUAUU
Long non-coding RNA from Amphimedon queenslandica, 585 nucleotides. RefSeq lists it as uncharacterized. The transcript is spliced from 2 exons. Lineage: Eukaryota; Metazoa; Porifera; Demospongiae; Haplosclerida; Niphatidae. The record is from RefSeq and is a predicted model, not a curated record.